AGUCGUGGAACCAUCUACUCUACC
This 24-nucleotide non-coding RNA is filed under the name Arabidopsis thaliana (thale cress). The record is from RNAcentral. Lineage: Eukaryota; Viridiplantae; Streptophyta; Magnoliopsida; Brassicales; Brassicaceae.